This 61-nucleotide microRNA precursor is filed under the name Pteropus alecto (black flying fox). Its description in RNAcentral is "microRNA pal-mir-664b precursor". Its record names the gene pal-mir-664b. The record is from miRBase by way of RNAcentral. Lineage: Eukaryota; Metazoa; Chordata; Mammalia; Chiroptera; Pteropodidae.
CAGGCUAGGGGACAUGACUGGAUAGAAAGCAUCACUCUGUUCGUUCAUCUCCCAGCCUACA